GACUCUCGGCAACGGAUAUCUCGGCUCUUGCAUCGAUGAAGAACGUAGCGAAAUGCGAUACUUGGUGUGAAUUGCAGAAUCCCGUGAACCAUCGAGUCUUUGAAUGCAAGUUGCGCCCGAAGCCACUAGGCCGAGGGCAUGCCUGCCUAUGUGUCA
Molecule: ribosomal RNA, 156 nt
Filed under: Vigna angularis (adzuki bean)
Lineage: Eukaryota; Viridiplantae; Streptophyta; Magnoliopsida; Fabales; Fabaceae
Description: rRNA 5_8S_rRNA
Rfam family: 5.8S ribosomal RNA
About the family: 5.8S ribosomal RNA (5.8S rRNA) is a component of the large subunit of the eukaryotic ribosome.
Source: RNAcentral